ACCGGGUGUGGUGGUGCACACCUGUAAUCCCAGCAACUCAGAAGGCUGAGGCAGGAGGAUUGCCAGCCUCAGCAACCUAGUGAGGCCCUAAGCAACUCAGUGAGACCCUGUCUCUA
Molecule: small RNA, 116 nt
Filed under: Marmota monax (woodchuck)
Lineage: Eukaryota; Metazoa; Chordata; Mammalia; Rodentia; Sciuridae
Source: RNAcentral